Molecule: long non-coding RNA, 522 nt
Organism: Aotus nancymaae (Ma's night monkey)
Lineage: Eukaryota; Metazoa; Chordata; Mammalia; Primates; Aotidae
Source: Ensembl
UCGUGGGGCUUGUUCACCGUACACUGAGCCACAGCUCCCGAGCCCUGAGCAGGAGGCAGCAGGACUUCGUGACGUUGUUCUCUGAAAACCUUCACCAGGCGGGGCUGUGGUCUGUCAUGCAGAAAAUGAAAUCUAUGCAUGAAGAGCAACCUUGCUGAGAACAUUUGUUUUCUUUUUAUAUCGUCUCUCCAUGGCCUGCUGGCACCCUUCAGAGAAUUCCCCCUUCUGUCACUCCCCCUGCCCCACAAAAUUGGGUGAGCAAGCAUUGAGUCACAAGCAAUGCAGCUUACUACUGCGGAAGAGACGAGAGCCUGGGAGGAGAUCCUCCGGGUAGCGCAGGGACACGGGAAGGCAGAAAGCUAAGGGUGGAGGAGAGACACUGAGAAAAACCCUCCAGCGUCCAGCCCCGACACCAAGCACGAGGUCACCCUACAGCAAUCUGAAGCCACGGAGCAGUCACUGAAGGUAACUAUGGCAACAAAAUCCCCUUCUCAGUUCCUGACCAGAUUGAUUCAUCCUCCC